GAUGAACGCUAGCUACAGGCUUAACACAUGCAAGUCGAGGGGAAACGAUAGAGAAAGCUUGCUUUUUCUAGGCGUCGACCGGCGCACGGGUGAGUAACGCGUAUCCAACCUGCCCAUCACUUGGGGAUAACCUUGCGAAAGUAAGACUAAUACCCAAUGACGUCCAUAGAAGACAUCUGAAAUGGAUUAAAGAUUUAUCGGUGAUGGAUGGGGAUGCGUCUGAUUAGCUUGUUGGCGGGGUAACGGCCCCCCAAGGCGACGAUCAGCAGGGGGUCAGGGGCGAAGGUCCCCCACAUGGGAACUGAGACCCGGUCUAAACUCCUACGAGGGGCGGCAGUGAGGAAUAUUGGUACAUGGACGAGAGUCUGAACCAGCCAAGUAGCUUGCAGGAUGACGGCCCUAUGGGUUGUAAACUGCUUUUAUAAGGGAAUAAAGUGGGAGUCGUGACUCCUUUUGCAUGUACCUUAUGAAUAAGGACCGGCUAAUUCCGUGCCAGCAGCCGCCGUAA
Molecule: ribosomal RNA, 508 nt
Filed under: uncultured bacterium
Lineage: Bacteria
Description: partial 16S ribosomal RNA
Rfam family: Bacterial small subunit ribosomal RNA
Source: RNAcentral